AGAGUUUGAUCAUGGCUCAGGACGAACGCUGGCGGCGUGCUUAACACAUGCAAGUCGAGGGGGGUGGGGCAACCCACUCACCGGCGAACGGGUGCGUAACACGUGAGCGACUGGUCCUACAGGUGGGGGAUAGCCGGCCCAACGGCCGGGUAAUACCGCAUACGUUCCCUUGGGGGCAUCCCUGGGGGAGGAAAGCCUAUAUGGCGCCUGAGGAGGGGCUCGCGGCCUAUCAGCUAGUUGGCGAGGUAACGGCUCACCAAGGCACCGACGGGUAGCUGGUCUGAGAGGAUGGCCAGCCACAUUGGGACUGAGAAACGGCCCAGACUCCUACGGGAGGCAGCAGUGGGGAAUCUUGCGCAAUGGCCGAAAGGCUGACGCAGCGACGCCGCGUGUGGGAGGAAGCCCUUCGGGGUGUAAACCACUGUUGCCCGGGACGAACGGCGGGGAAUGCCCCGCGUGACGGUACCGGGUGAGGAAGCACCGGCUAACUCCGUGCCAGCCGCCGCGGUAAUAC
Molecule: ribosomal RNA, 514 nt
Filed under: uncultured bacterium
Lineage: Bacteria
Description: bacterial SSU rRNA
Rfam family: Bacterial small subunit ribosomal RNA
Source: RNAcentral